UAGGGAAUAUUGGACAAUGGGGGGAACCCUGAUCCAGCCAUGCCGCGUGGAGGAAGACUGCCCUCUGGGUUGUAAACUCCUUUUAUAUGGGAAGAACCGUCCUCAUUGAUGAGUGACCUGACGGUACCAUAGGAAUAAGCACCGGCUAACUCCGUGCCAGCAGCCGCGGUAAUACGUAGGGGGCAAGCGUUGUCCGGAUUUACUGGGUGUAAAGGGCGCGCAGGCGGGAUAAAAAGUCAGUGGUGAAAUCCUACAGCUUAACUGUAGAACUGCCUUUGAUACUUUUAUUCUUGAGUUCGGGAGAGAGAGACGGAAUUCCAGGUGUAGUGGUGAAAUACGUAGAUAUCUGGAAGAACACCAGUUGCGAAGGCGGUCUCUUGGUCCGACACUGACGCUGAGGCGCGAAAGCGUGGGGAGCAAACA
RNAcentral lists this ribosomal RNA (423 nucleotides) under uncultured bacterium. RNAcentral's name for it is "bacterial SSU rRNA". It matches the Rfam family "Bacterial small subunit ribosomal RNA", at positions 355 to 774 of the family's 1533-position model. The record is from RNAcentral.